This 468-nucleotide ribosomal RNA is filed under the name uncultured bacterium. RNAcentral's name for it is "partial 16S ribosomal RNA". It matches the Rfam family "Bacterial small subunit ribosomal RNA", at positions 28 to 506 of the family's 1533-position model. The record is from RNAcentral.
GACGAACGCUGGCGGCGUGCUUAACACAUGCAAGUCGAACGGAAAGGCCCCGUUUUUGUGGGUCGCUUGGGUAGCGAGCGGGUAAGUAAUAAGUGAGUAACCUUCCCUUGCGGUUGAGAUUACGGAAGGUAAGUGGGGUUCCGACUGGAAAGCAGUGCUGGAUGGUUGGGGGGGGUAGGAUAGUUUCGGCGGUUAUGGAUGGACUCGCGGCUUAUCAGCUUGUUGGUGGGGUAGUGGCUUACCAAGGCUUUGACGGGUAGCCGGCCUGAGAGGGCGACCGGCCACAUUGGGACUGAGAUACGGCCCAGACUCCUACGGGAGGCAGCAGUGGGGAAUAUUGCACAAUGGGCGGAAGCCUGAUGCAGCAACGCCGCGUGCGGGAUGACGGCCUUCGGGUUGUAAACCGCUUUCAGCAGGGGCGAAGCUUGUGGUGAGGGUACCUGUAGAAGAAGAACGGGUAAACUCGGU